RNAcentral lists this ribosomal RNA (2780 nucleotides) under Shigella dysenteriae. RNAcentral's name for it is "bacterial LSU rRNA". It matches the Rfam family "Bacterial large subunit ribosomal RNA". Lineage: Bacteria; Pseudomonadati; Pseudomonadota; Gammaproteobacteria; Enterobacterales; Enterobacteriaceae. The record is from RNAcentral.
AGCGUACACGGUGGAUGCCCUGGCAGUCAGAGGCGAUGAAGGACGUGCUAAUCUGCGAUAAGCGUCGGUAAGGUGAUAUGAACCGUUAUAACCGGCGAUUUCCGAAUGGGGAAACCCAGUGUGAUUCGUCACACUAUCAUUAACUGAAUCCAUAGGUUAAUGAGGCGAACCGGGGGAACUGAAACAUCUAAGUACCCGAGGAAAAGAAAUCAACCGAGAUUCCCCCAGUAGCGGCGAGCGAACGGGGAGCAGCCCAGAGCCUGAAUCAGUGUGUGUGUUAGUGGAAGCGUCUGGAAAGGCGUGCGAUACAGGGUGACAGCCCCGUACACAAAAAUGCACAUAUUGUGAGCUCGAUGAGUAGGGCGGGACACGUGGUAUCCUGUCUGAAUAUGGGGGACCAUCCUCCAAGGCUAAAUACUCCUGACUGACCGAUAGUGAACCAGUACCGUGAGGGAAAGGCGAAAAGAACCCCGGCGAGGGGAGUGAAAAAGAACCUGAAACCGUGUACGUACAAGCAGUGGGAGCACGCUUAGGCGUGUGACUGCGUACCUUUUGUAUAAUGGGUCAGCGACUUAUAUUCUGUAGCAAGGUUAACCGAAUAGGGGAGCCGAAGGGAAACCGAGUCUUAACUGGGCGUUAAGUUGCAGGGUAUAGACCCGAAACCCGGUGAUCUAGCCAUGGGCAGGUUGAAGGUUGGGUAACACUAACUGGAGGACCGAACCGACUAAUGUUGAAAAAUUAGCGGAUGACUUGUGGCUGGGGUGAAAGGCCAAUCAAACCGGGAGAUAGCUGGUUCUCCCGAAAGCUAUUUAGGUAGCGCCUCGUGAAUUCAUCUCCGGGGGUAGAGCACUGUUUCGGCAAGGGGGUCAUCCCGACUUACCAACCCGAUGCAAACUGCGAAUACCGGAGAAUGUUAUCACGGGAGACACACGGCGGGUGCUAACGUCCGUCGUGAAGAGGGAAACAACCCAGACCGCCAGCUAAGGUCCCAAAGUCAUGGUUAAGUGGGAAACGAUGUGGGAAGGCCCAGACAGCCAGGAUGUUGGCUUAGAAGCAGCCAUCAUUUAAAGAAAGCGUAAUAGCUCACUGGUCGAGUCGGCCUGCGCGGAAGAUGUAACGGGGCUAAACCAUGCACCGAAGCUGCGGCAGCGACACUAUGUGUUGUUGGGUAGGGGAGCGUUCUGUAAGCCUGUGAAGGUGUACUGUGAGGUAUGCUGGAGGUAUCAGAAGUGCGAAUGCUGACAUAAGUAACGAUAAAGCGGGUGAAAAGCCCGCUCGCCGGAAGACCAAGGGUUCCUGUCCAACGUUAAUCGGGGCAGGGUGAGUCGACCCCUAAGGCGAGGCCGAAAGGCGUAGUCGAUGGGAAACAGGUUAAUAUUCCUGUACUUGGUGUUACUGCGAAGGGGGACGGAGAAGGCUAUGUUGGCCGGGCGACGGUUGUCCCGGUUUAAGCGUGUAGGCUGGUUUUCCAGGCAAAUCCGGAAAACUAAGGCUGAGGCGUGAUGACGAGGCACUACGGUGCUGAAGCAACAAAUGCCCUGCUUCCAGGAAAAGCCUCUAAGCAUCAGGUAACAUCAAAUCGUACCCCAAACCGACACAGGUGGUCAGGUAGAGAAUACCAAGGCGCUUGAGAGAACUCGGGUGAAGGAACUAGGCAAAAUGGUGCCGUAACUUCGGGAGAAGGCACGCUGAUAUGUAGGUGAAGUCCCUCGCGGAUGGAGCUGAAAUCAGUCGAAGAUACCAGCUGGCUGCAACUGUUUAUUAAAAACACAGCACUGUGCAAACACGAAAGUGGACGUAUACGGUGUGACGCCUGCCCGGUGCCGGAAGGUUAAUUGAUGGGGUCAGCGCAAGCGAAGCUCUUGAUCGAAGCCCCGGUAAACGGCGGCCGUAACUAUAACGGUCCUAAGGUAGCGAAAUUCCUUGUCGGGUAAGUUCCGACCUGCACGAAUGGCGUAAUGAUGGCCAGGCUGUCUCCACCCGAGACUCAGUGAAAUUGAACUCGCUGUGAAGAUGCAGUGUACCCGCGGCAAGACGGAAAGACCCCGUGAACCUUUACUAUAGCUUGACACUGAACAUUGAGCCUUGAUGUGUAGGAUAGGUGGGAGGCUUUGAAGUGUGGACGCCAGUCUGCAUGGAGCCGACCUUGAAAUACCACCCUUUAAUGUUUGAUGUUCUAACGUUGACCCGUAAUCCGGGUUGCGGACAGUGUCUGGUGGGUAGUUUGACUGGGGCGGUCUCCUCCUAAAGAGUAACGGAGGAGCACGAAGGUUGGCUAAUCCUGGUCGGACAUCAGGAGGUUAGUGCAAUGGCAUAAGCCAGCUUGACUGCGAGCGUGACGGCGCGAGCAGGUGCGAAAGCAGGUCAUAGUGAUCCGGUGGUUCUGAAUGGAAGGGCCAUCGCUCAACGGAUAAAAGGUACUCCGGGGAUAACAGGCUGAUACCGCCCAAGAGUUCAUAUCGACGGCGGUGUUUGGCACCUCGAUGUCGGCUCAUCACAUCCUGGGGCUGAAGUAGGUCCCAAGGGUAUGGCUGUUCGCCAUUUAAAGUGGUACGCGAGCUGGGUUUAGAACGUCGUGAGACAGUUCGGUCCCUAUCUGCCGUGGGCGCUGGAGAACUGAGGGGGCUGCUCCUAGUACGAGAGGACCGGAGUGGACGCAUCACUGGUGUUCGGGUUGUCAUGCCAAUGGCACUGCCCGGUAGCUAAAUGCGGAAGAGAUAAGUGCUGAAAGCAUCUAAGCACGAAACUUGCCCCGAGAUGAGUUCUCCCUGACUCCUUGA